UUCUUUUGAUGCUGGAGAAGAACUUCAAGACUCUUCAGGCGGUACUAGCUUCGUUGAAUGGCUCGACCGGAGAAGCUGCGGGUAUGGAUCUUGGUGACCAGAGCAUGGGAAUGGAAGAUGAUGACAACGAAAUGGAUGAUGAUGGUGAUGUGGAGAUGGAUGAAGGACAAGGAGGAGAGUUUAAGGAGAAGGUUAUGAAUGUGUUGAAGGAAGGUGGGUUCGAGGAGAAGAGGUCGUCUAAGCUAUCACAACAAGACUUUCUGUAUCUUCUCUCGUUAUUCAACAAGUCGGGC
RNAcentral lists this long non-coding RNA (293 nucleotides) under Brassica rapa (field mustard). RNAcentral describes it as "long non-coding RNA (BRAP_LNC001923)". Lineage: Eukaryota; Viridiplantae; Streptophyta; Magnoliopsida; Brassicales; Brassicaceae. The record is from RNAcentral.